AGUUAAUGAACUUGUAUAAGUAUAUAUUUUGAAAAUAUAAAAAAGAGUAAUAAUCUCUAUUAACUU
This 66-nucleotide transfer RNA is filed under the name Linaeidea aenea. RNAcentral describes it as "tRNA-Ser". The record is from RNAcentral. Lineage: Eukaryota; Metazoa; Arthropoda; Insecta; Coleoptera; Chrysomelidae.